GACGAACGCUGGCGGCGUGCUUAACACAUGCAAGUCGAACGGAAAGGCCCUGCUCUUGUGGGGUGCUCGAGUGGCGAACGGGUGAGUAACACGUGAGUAACCUGCCCUUGACUUUGGGAUAACUUCAGGAAACUCGGGCUAAUAUCGGAUAGGAGCUCCUGCUGCAUGGUGGGGGUUGGAAAGUUUCGGCGGUUGGGGAUGGACUCGCGGCUUAUGAGCUUGUUGGGGAGGUAGUGGCGUACCAAGGCUUUGACGGGUAGCCGGCCUGGGAGGCGGACCGGCCACAUUGGGACUACGAUAGGGACCAGAAUCCUACGGGAGGCAGAAGUGGGGAGUAUUACACAGUGGGCGGAAGCCUGAUGCGGCGACGCCGGGAGCGGGAUGACGGCCUUCGGGUUAUGAACCGCUUUCGACUGUGACGAAGCGUGAGUGACGGUAAUGGGUAAGGAAGCACCGGCUAACUACGUG
RNAcentral lists this ribosomal RNA (468 nucleotides) under uncultured bacterium. RNAcentral describes it as "partial 16S ribosomal RNA". It matches the Rfam family "Bacterial small subunit ribosomal RNA", at positions 28 to 507 of the family's 1533-position model. The record is from RNAcentral.